This 301-nucleotide ribosomal RNA is filed under the name uncultured bacterium. RNAcentral's name for it is "partial 16S ribosomal RNA". It matches the Rfam family "Bacterial small subunit ribosomal RNA", at positions 509 to 809 of the family's 1533-position model. The record is from RNAcentral.
CAGCCGCCGCGGGAAUGCGAAGGGGGCUAGCGUUGUUCGGAUUUACUGGGCGUAAAGGGCGCGUAGGCGGACUGAUAAGUCAGGGGUGAAAUCCCAAGGCUCAACCUUGGAACUGCCUUUGAUACUGUUUGUCUUGAGUUCGAGAGAGGUAAGUGGAACUGCGAGUGUAGAGGUGAAAUUCGUUGAUAUUCGCAAGAACACCAGUGGCGAAGGCGGCUUACUGGCUCGAAACUGACGCUGAGGCGCGAAAGCGUGGGGAGCAAACAGGAUUAGAUACCCGCGUAGUCCCUGUCUCUUAUAA